RNAcentral lists this ribosomal RNA (444 nucleotides) under uncultured delta proteobacterium. Its description in RNAcentral is "bacterial SSU rRNA". It matches the Rfam family "Bacterial small subunit ribosomal RNA", at positions 381 to 840 of the family's 1533-position model. Lineage: Bacteria; Deltaproteobacteria. The record is from RNAcentral.
CUCUGAUGCAGCAAUGCCGCGUGAGUGAAGAAGGCCCUUGGGUCGUAAAGCUCUUUUAUGGGGGAAGAUGAUGACGGUACCCCAGGAAUAAGCACCGGCUAACUACGUGCCAGCAGCCGCGGUAAUACGUAGGGUGCGAGCGUUGUUCGGAAUUACUGGGCGUAAAGGGCGCGCAGGCGGAGGUGCAAGUCGGAGGUGAAAGCCCGGGGCUCAACCCCGGAGGGUCUUUCGAAACUGCAUCUCUAGAGAGGGUCAGGGGCCGGCAGAAUUCCUGGUGUAGAGGUGAAAUUCGUAGAUAUCAGGAGGAAUACCGGUGGCGAAAGCGGCCGGACUGGGGCCACUCUGACGCUGAGGCGCGAAAGCGUGGGGAGCAAACAGGAUUAGAUACCCUGGUAGUCCACGCCGUAAACGAUGAGCACUGGACGUUCGGAGGGUUCGACCCUU